UCCUAAGCCACCCACAGUGACCUGAUAUCUUCCUCAGAGUGAAGUAUUCAUUAGUAACAAUAGCAUAUAGAAAUGAUAAAGGAGAGAGUGCUCAUGUUUAGCUUGUUUGCUGAGCAAUUAUCUUCUAUGUAGGAACCUUGGCUGGUCUGAGUUUCCUGGGUCUCCCCAGCAAGCAAGGUGCUUCCACCCCUUUUUCCCUUAUGUGGCACCCAGGCUUUUCCCUGGCCCUGCCCUGGAGCUCCCUCCUUGCAGUGGGCCACUGCAUUAUACAAUAGCUCUGUUUUACUGAUGAACAACUUGCAAAGUUUCACCCCUUUUUUACUCAUCAGUAUUUAUAGCAUGCAGCAGCAGCCAGUGCAUCAUGUUUGGUACUUUGCUAUUUAACAGGCAAAUGAAUUCAUCACAGAUGAGUUUCGUUGAUCAGCUACUGUUGGACUCUGCCCUUAUGGGACCCUAAACCUGAUGAUGGUUUUUGGGCACGAGCUGCUUCACAGCAUGAGGGGCCAAGAAGAAGAGCACGAAGGAGCCCAAAAGCAAGAUGCUGAGAUGUGUGCAGAGAAUGCAACAUGACAAACUGCUAGGUUUGGUUAAAUUGGGACUGUUAAUUAUAGCAGUUUAAAUUGGAUUCUGACUCAGAUUUUGAAUUCAUAGUGGCAAGAUGACAGCCUGGAGAAGGUGUUUGCAAAUGGCUGACUCAGAGGAUGAUGAUCAGCACGACGGUGCCUUCUGCCUGUGCUAGUACUAUGUGUUUAUAGGAGCGAUGUUAUAAGGUGACAGUUGCCAGUUCAGCUCCACCCCUUGAUCUGUUCACCAGAGAUUAUGCAGCCUGGAAAGACAAAAUGAGCAAAUGGAGGAAGGAGCAUAUUAAUUGGUCUUUAAAGGGUGCUUAAGAGUGUGUCCUUGAAGGAGGAGUUACCUAUGUCCAUCAGCACCCGUCCAUACCUCAGUAGGAAGAGAACUGAGAGCUGGGAGCCUUCCCUCACCUGCUGCACAGAUAAGGCUUUCUUUGGCACUCUACAAGCCUUCCUUCAACCUGAAGAUCCUUUCAGCAUUUGGAUGGUAAAUGGCAUCAAAGAUCACCACCCACCACUCAUAAGACAUUCUUCCAUGGUGAAAGCAUAAUGCGAAGCGUGGGUCGCCUCUUGUAACUUCAAGGAUCAUGGAUUCUCUCCCAGGUGGAAAGGUGAGGCUGCCAAGGUCAAAAUGCAGACAGGAGAAGGCUGUGGGAUGAAGUGCAGGCAGUUUUGUGUCACAUUACAGUGGUAUAGUCUUUUAAUGUUAAUCAGUUCAGUGAAAAAUCCUCUUGUUUUGAUGUGAAUAGCACAGAUCCUAUCUCCAGCAAAUUGGUGUUGUGAUGACUUUCUCUAAAAGGAAAGUCAUCACCUGGAGCAAUGUAAUCACCAAAGGAAGAAAAGUGCCAAGUCAUCUGAAGCUUUGUCUCUCCUGAUUGCAAUCAUAUUUUAUACUCAAGUAAAGAGAAACUGCUGUGACAAUGGAGCAAGGAAGUAGUGGCUGUUCACCAUCCAUCUAUUGUGGAUAUGGAACUGCAAAGCCAUUUUCAAGGCAGCCUCCGUAUACAGAUGUUCACUCACUGGAGAUAAUUUCAGCAGGCACACCUAGAGCUUUAUGGGACUGUGGGAACUGGUUGACUCCCCUUCCUCCAUCUAAUCAGCCACCCAGUCAGGCAGCUGAGGAGGCCAGAAGCAAUGGGAGGACACUGGGCACCUUCCUUCAUCUUCUAAAUGUGAGAGUAUGAGGUUGUCAGAGUUGUCAUGUUAAUCCUUCCUUUUAAAUUCCCAUUAAUGUGUCUUAAAAAUACGACCUCCGCGCACAUGGAAACGUGGUAACGUGCUGCUCAGGCGCACAGCUCCUGGCCUCUGACCCACCCGGGAAUGCAACGAGCUCCUUAAGACCCCGACGCCACUUUGAUGGCCCUCCAGGAGCCUGCAGAAGAUGCCAUCCAGUGGCAGCAAGGUAACAUUACAAGAGCAGGCAAUAAAAUCGGCCCUUGACACCCUCCUUGAAAAAAGUUGUAUCUGGUCGUGACUUAACUGCAUAAUCAAAGUACCCAGGAUGUCUGUGGCCUGUGGUGAAGACUUGAGUGACACCCAUCUCUAAUUAUGCUAAUUGGACAGCUUCUUUUUCCUCUCCAGAAACCCUUAUGCUUUUGUUUGCAGGGAAUAAAUAAAGAGGGAUUAGCUAUGUUUA
Long non-coding RNA from Neopsephotus bourkii (Bourke's parrot), 2208 nucleotides. RefSeq lists it as uncharacterized. The transcript has 2 exons. NCBI's taxonomy places the organism in Eukaryota, Metazoa, Chordata, Aves, Psittaciformes, Psittacidae. The record is from RefSeq and is a predicted model, not a curated record.